Molecule: ribosomal RNA, 253 nt
Filed under: uncultured bacterium
Lineage: Bacteria
Description: partial 16S ribosomal RNA
Rfam family: Bacterial small subunit ribosomal RNA
Source: RNAcentral
UACGUAGGGUGCAGGCGUUAAUCGGAAUUACUGGGCGUAAAGCGUGCGCAGGCGGUUUGCUAAGACAGGUGUGAAAUCCCCGGGCUUAACCUGGGAACUGCGCUUGUAACUGGCAAGCUGGAGUGUGGCAGAGGGGGGUGGAAUUCCACGUGUAGCAGUGAAAUGCGUAGAGAUGUGGAGGAACACCGAUGGCGAAGGCAGCCCCCUGGGUCAACACUGACGCUCAUGCACGAAAGCGUGGGGAGCAAACAGG